RNAcentral lists this long non-coding RNA (2719 nucleotides) under Sus scrofa (pig). RNAcentral describes it as "lncRNA (ENSSSCG00050006595.1)". Lineage: Eukaryota; Metazoa; Chordata; Mammalia; Artiodactyla; Suidae. The record is from RNAcentral.
GCAGAUGUGAGACUGUUGAUAACCAGCAGGGGGAUUCUUGCACUUAUAGCAAUAUCAGCUUUACUAAUAUUAAAUAUUUAAGAUUUUUCAAUUCAGGGAUCUUUGGGGGCCAUUUUGAAAAGUACGUACAUUGUUUGGAAUAGUCAAUGUGAUAUAGAUGUGAACUGAUAUUCUUAGGGCUAUCUUAAGGAGAGAGGAUUAAUUUGUUAUAAGGCUCCAAAGGACAGAACUAAGGUCUACUAAAAAUAAGUGCUCCCAUUAUGGCUCAGCAGUUACGAAACUGACUAGUAUCCGUGAGGAUCGAGUCCAGGGAUCAAACCUGCAUCCUCAUGGGUACUAGUCGGGUUCAUUAACAGCUGAGCCACAAUGGGAACUCCAAGAAAAUUUCUUUUUCCUCUUUUUAACUGGGAAAGAUCAUUAAUAAGUAAAAGGCUUGAAAGUUAGCCAUGGGAAGGCAGUUGUCUUUCAAAGUUGUCAGCAUUAUCAUCAUUGCCAGCAUUGUUAUUAUAUUGGUCAUGAUAGCAUUACAACCUCAGUUGUAAUGGCUAACAUUUGUUGAGCAUCUGUCAAGUACCUGAAAUUGUGUUGAGCACUUGGUAUGCAUUAAAUAUAAUCCCUAUGGCUACUUUAUUAAAUAAAGUUCUGUACUCUUCCUAGGUAGUACAGGGUUAUGGCCAAAUGGCUGGUAUAGGAAAUAAUUUCAGAAGAAGAAGUCACUUCAGCGCUAGGUUGAACUAGUGGAAUUUGAGCUAGAUGUUGAGGAUAGGUAGUUCUUGCUUCUCUCUCUGACAUUAUCCUUCAACACUACCUCCAGUCCCCCCGACCCGUUGUGCCAGCUGUACUAAACUACUUGUUUUCUACCCAAACCAAAGUCUGUCUUAUUCUUGGAAAGUGGAUUAUUCUGUUCUCAGUUUGAAAUAAUUUUAGAUUUACAGAAAUUUCAAAGAUUUCUUGCACACCCUUUAUCCAAUUUCCUUUACUAUUAACUUCUUAUAUAAUCAUAGUGCAUUUGUCAAAACUAAGAAUUGGAACAAUACCAUUCACUAAACUACAGAUUUUAUUUAGAUUUCUCCAGUUUUCCUACUUAUGUUCUUUUUCUAUUCUGAGGUCCAGUCCAGGAUACCAUGUUGUAAUUAAGUGUCAAGUCUCUUUAGUCUCCACCACCUGUGCCUUUUCCUUGUUUUUCCUGACCUUCAUAUUUUGAGAAGGUCUUUUGUUCAUUGUCUGUUAAUUUGGAUUUGGUUGAUGCUUUCCUGUGAUUACAUUGAGUUUAUGGAAUUUGGCAAAGAAUACAAGUGAAGUGCCCUUCUCAUCACGUCAUAUCAGGGGGGUACAUUCAUCUUAACAUGUCUUAGUAUUAGUGAUUCUAAACUUGGUUUCUCAGUUUAGUGAGUGACUGCUGGGUUUCUCCACUGAAUGGUUCCUAUUUUUCCUUAGAAGUGAGUUCCUACUCAAGAGGAGGGGAGUUCCACCUCCUGGUGGGAUGAGUAGCAAAGAAUUUUGGAGAUAAGUGAAAACUACCCCAGUAAUUAAUAAAUCUUGGGAGGAUUGUCAGGCUUAAUCUUAAUUACUUUUUCCAUUUAUUCACUUUUAUUAGACUGGAUUUUUAUUGAGCUCAGGAGCUUAAGCAUGAUGUAUUAUUUCCCUUUUAUGUAGAACAGUUGCAUAUGGUAAAUGGUGAGUAAAAUAUUUGUUGAAUGGCUAGAUCUGAAAAGGGGAGAUUAUAAAUUGCACACAAAGCUAAAUUAGUUACUUGAUCCUUUAUAUAGUGGAAUAGUAUUAACAGUGUUUGAAUAAUGUGACAAAAAUUUUUACUGUUUUGGUUUCCUGUUUUAAUGUUUUUUUUUUUUUUUCUUUUCUUUUUAAUGAGAGUUGCAGCAUUUAUUUUUUUGCCACACCCACAACAUGUGGGCCUUCCUGGGCCAGGAAUCGAACUUGCGCCACAGCAGUGAUCAGAGCCACUCCAGUGACAAUGCCAGAUCCUUAACCUGCUGCGCCACAAGGGGACUUCCUAUUCUUCCCUAAUUUUAACAUGAUAUUUAGAAAAACUGAUUAGAAUAUAAAGAAAUUUAACAAAAUAAAUUUAGGACAGAAGUCUUAUUAUGUGAUUAAAGAUAACUGUUUGAAUGUUUUGCACAUACUCUGUAUUUAGAAGGGUGGAUUUAACUUGGGAAAGCAUAUAAUUUCUAAGUAAAUUAGCAGUGAUAGAAAAAUCCCUUCUCGUUUCUCAAAAAAGGUGUUUAAAAGUACCAGUGUUAUGUUUAACUUAGCUUUUGCAUUAUAAAUGGUCUCUCUGAACCCUGAGCAUGCUAAAUUUAACCUUCAUAUUUGAUGCCAGUUUUACUUAUGGAUGCCUUUCAGGCUUCUUUCAAACUGUAUAAAUCUUUUUUUUUUUUUUUUUUAAAGAAUGUCGGUUGCUGUACUAAAAACAGGAACAAUAAACCAUGCUUGCAUUUGACCAUUGGCUUUUUUUCUAAGUAGUAGCUAUGUAGUGAAAAGGUGUUUUCUGUAAGAAGUUGGAGACUUCGGGAGAUUGAUAAUUGGUUUUAAUCUUUUUUUUUCAGCUGAUAUUGCCACCACCCCACUAAGAAUGAAUUUUCUUACCUGCUUUUUUGCCUAGGAAGUUUCACAGUCUUGCUCCAGUGCCAGAUUAUCUGUGGUUACUUGAGACUAUUAUAAUACUGUCUUCUACUUUGUUAUUUUCAUUAAAAAAAAAAAA